RNAcentral lists this long non-coding RNA (426 nucleotides) under Homo sapiens (human). RNAcentral describes it as "non-protein coding lnc-FAM183A-2:1". Lineage: Eukaryota; Metazoa; Chordata; Mammalia; Primates; Hominidae. The record is from RNAcentral.
UUUACAUUGAUUAACCGAAUACUGACAGGAACCCAAUGAGGUAGAUACAUCUACAUUAUGCUAGAGAUGACAAGGCAAAUAAAAAUUAAAUUCCCUACGGUCAAACAGCAAGUAAGCAACACAGCCAGGCCCCAGAAUCCACGCUUCUUAGCUUCUACAAUACUCUACUGCUCAAACACGGGAAAGAGGAGAUCAAAAUGCAUGGGCUGCAGAAACAGAAUGAAGGGAACAGAGGGAAACUUUAUCAAAAAAAUUAAAACUAUAAUCAUAUUCUGAGAGAUAUAAGAUACUGCAUCUAGAGGAUAAGAGUAAAAUGAUAUGAAAAAUGACCAAAUAGAGAAUAAGAAACUCUUGGGGGAUAAAUGAAAUGAAAGCUAAACUUCAUAUUCAAUAAAAUGAUUUUAGGCCGGGCAUGGUGGCUCACGC